UUGAGCCCUGAAGGCUUCUGUUUAUCCACAGCACAGGUACAGCCCACACGUCAGCACUUCCACAACCCUGUUGCUGCAUCUCAUUCUUGAGCUGGAGGGUUCACCUCACUGCAAGAGGAUGUAGUUCUGUCUUCAUGCCCAUUCAGUCCUUGGCCUCU
This 158-nucleotide small RNA is filed under the name Chrysemys picta bellii (western painted turtle). RNAcentral describes it as "TUC338 (ENSCPBG00000011882.1)". Lineage: Eukaryota; Metazoa; Chordata; Testudines; Emydidae. The record is from RNAcentral.